ACACAUUAUAAUAAUAUAAUAAAUCUAUGGGAAAUUGAAGAGUACAAUGUUGAGGCAACCUCAUUAUUAUAUCUUGACGGUCUCUGUGUUACUGUGUGAAAAUAAAUUCCCCAUGGUAGUCUUCCAAUAACUUUCAUAUAAGACAAGUCAUUUCCAGUGAAUUGCUUUAUGUAGUGAGUGUUCAUAUGAAGAUAAGAUAUUGCAGAGUUGUUACAUUUUCCUUUACAUUUUUCUGAUUGGUAAAUGGUCGUUAUUAUUGAAUCCUCAGUUAUUGUAUAUUAAAACAAGAAAUAUGCCAUGCACAGGUCCCUGUAAGUUUACUGGUCUACAGUUCAAGUGGAAGGCUUAGUGGCCUUUCCAAAAGCCUAAAAGCUUCGAAAAGUCAUCUAUCAGUUUUUAUUUCAACAAUAACUUGUGAGAUUUAGGGUCAAAAAUUAUGUCUGUGGAAACAUUUACCCCUGAAGCAACUUAUUACUUACAAGUUCAUGUCUAGAUGUUUGGCCACAGGAAAGCAUCAAGCACGACAGAAGUUUCCUAUAUUUUUUUCCCAUUUUAGCCUUUAGAUUCAUUAGCCUAUAAGAAAAUAUAUCAGAUAAAUUUUGAUACC
This 607-nucleotide long non-coding RNA is filed under the name Nicotiana benthamiana. RNAcentral's name for it is "long non-coding RNA (NBEN_LNC021541)". Lineage: Eukaryota; Viridiplantae; Streptophyta; Magnoliopsida; Solanales; Solanaceae. The record is from RNAcentral.